Molecule: ribosomal RNA, 468 nt
Filed under: uncultured bacterium
Lineage: Bacteria
Description: partial 16S ribosomal RNA
Rfam family: Bacterial small subunit ribosomal RNA
Source: RNAcentral
GACGAACGCUGGCGGCGUGCUUAACACAUGCAAGUCGAACGGAAAGGCCCUGCUUUUGUGGGGUGCUCGAGUGGCGAACGGGUGAGUAACACGUGAGUAACCUGCCCUUGAUUUUGGGAUAACUUCAGGAAACUGGGGCUAAUACCGGAUAGGAGCUCCUGCUGCAUGGUGGGGGUUGGAAAGUUUCGGCGGUUGGGGAUGGACUCGCGGAUUAUCAGCUUGUUGGUGGGGUAGUGGCUUACCAAGGCUUUGACGGGUAGCCGGCCUGAGAGGGUGACCGGCCACAAUGGGACUGAGGGACGGCCCAGACUCCUACGGUAGGCAGCAGUGGGGAAUAUUGCACAAUGGUCGGAAGCCUGAUGCAGCAACGCCGCGUGCGGGAUGACGGCCUUCGGGUUGUAAACCGCUUUCGCCUGUGACGAAGCGUGAGUGACGGUAAUGGGUAAAGAAGCACCGGCUAACUACGUG